GCGGGGGAGUAACUAUUGGAAACGAUAGCUAAUACCGCAUAAGAGUAGAUGUUGCAUGACAUUUGCUUAAAAGGUGCAAUUGCAUCACUACCAGAUGGACCUGCGUUGUAUUAGCUAGUUGGUGAGGUAACGGCUCACCAAGGCAACGAUACAUAGCCGACCUGAGAGGGUGAUCGGCCACACUGGGACUGAGACACGGCCCAG
Molecule: ribosomal RNA, 204 nt
Filed under: uncultured Streptococcaceae bacterium
Lineage: Bacteria; Bacillati; Bacillota; Bacilli; Lactobacillales; Streptococcaceae
Description: partial 16S ribosomal RNA
Rfam family: Bacterial small subunit ribosomal RNA
Source: RNAcentral